CCCAACUUUAGAUUCCAAAACCAAAUUUAUUCAAUAAUGCUCCCUACUUAGACAUAAGCAAAAGGCAAAAUUUGCAAACAACUCGGUUUGAGGGUUCAAUUGAUACGAAAGAAAUUAGGAUUCAUUUAUUCCAAAAUUUUCAAUUGAUUUUACAAUUAUCAAUCAAAUGAAUCCUAAAAUAAGCUCAAAGGGGGUUAACUAAGGAUUACUCCUCACAAGGUUAGUUGAUUCAAACUUUUUGGUCAAGUGGUUUUUCUCAACAAACAAUGCCUCUAUCAUUUUCAAAAUUUUCACAC
Molecule: long non-coding RNA, 296 nt
Filed under: Lathyrus oleraceus (garden pea)
Lineage: Eukaryota; Viridiplantae; Streptophyta; Magnoliopsida; Fabales; Fabaceae
Description: Pisum sativum (pea) long non-coding RNA (PSAT_LNC036909)
Source: RNAcentral